UACGUAGGGUGCGAGCGUUAAUCGGAAUUACUGGGCGUAAAGCGUGCGCAGGCGGUUUUGUAAGCCAGAUGUGAAAUCCCCGGGCUUAACCUGGGAAUGGCAUUUGGGACUGCAAAGCUUGAGUGUGGCAGAGGGGACUGGAAUUCCUGGUGUAGCAGUGAAAUGCGUAGAGAUCAGGAGGAAUACCGAUGGCGAAGGCAGGUCCCUGGGCUAACACUGACGCUCAUGCACGAAAGCGUGGGGAGCAAACAGG
Molecule: ribosomal RNA, 253 nt
Filed under: uncultured bacterium
Lineage: Bacteria
Description: partial 16S ribosomal RNA
Rfam family: Bacterial small subunit ribosomal RNA
Source: RNAcentral